AGAAACAGACAGACAAAGACUGGGAACAGGCAGUGCAUGGAUGGGGCUACUAACAGAAAACAUCUGUUUUGGCUCUACCCCUGCACUGCCUCUUCCCUGGCUUCCGGUUCUUCUUUUUGU
Molecule: microRNA precursor, 120 nt
Filed under: Ricinus communis (castor bean)
Lineage: Eukaryota; Viridiplantae; Streptophyta; Magnoliopsida; Malpighiales; Euphorbiaceae
Description: MIR408 microRNA precursor family
Rfam family: MIR408 microRNA precursor family
Source: Rfam by way of RNAcentral